This 433-nucleotide ribosomal RNA is filed under the name uncultured bacterium. RNAcentral's name for it is "partial 16S ribosomal RNA". It matches the Rfam family "Bacterial small subunit ribosomal RNA", at positions 29 to 507 of the family's 1533-position model. The record is from RNAcentral.
AACGAACGCUGGCGGCAUGCCUAACACAUGCCAGUCGAACGAGACCUUCGGGUCUAGUGGCGCACGGGUGCGUAACGCGUGGGAACCUGCCCUUAGGUUCGGAAUAACUCCCCGAAAGGGGUGCUAAUACCGGAUAAUGUCUUCGGACCAAAGAUUUAUCGCCUUUGGAUGGGCCCGCGUUGGAUUAGCUAGUUGGUAGGGUAAAAGCCUACCAAGGCGACGAUCCAUAGCUGGUCUGAGAGGAUGAUCAGCCACACUGGGACUGAGACACGGCCCAGACUCCUACGGGAGGCAGCAGUGGGGAAUAUUGGACAAUGGGCGAAAGCCUGAUCCAGCAAUGCCACGUGAGUGAUGAAGGCCUUAGGGUUGUAAAGCUCUUUUACCCGGGAUGAUAAUGACAGUACCGGGAGAAUAAGCUCCGGCUAACUCCGUG